This 498-nucleotide ribosomal RNA is filed under the name Triticum aestivum (bread wheat). RNAcentral describes it as "partial small subunit ribosomal RNA". The record is from RNAcentral. Lineage: Eukaryota; Viridiplantae; Streptophyta; Magnoliopsida; Poales; Poaceae.
AUGCACCUGCAGGUCUCGACCGCAUCACUGACCUCUCAGGUUACACUGUCUACAGACAGGGAGAACUCCAUCUCCUGGCGUUGGACUCCCAAUGAAAUCUACUCCGCAGCUUCGACAUAUACAACCCAAUUCUCCGGCUCCUUCCCCAGGUUCUCGUCGACGAAGAUUUGGGAAGCACACGCGGAGCCCAAAUGCAAGCUCUUUUCCUGGCUGGUGCUCCAUGGCAAGAUCCUCAUGGCCGACAUGCUCGCUAUUCGCGGAUGGCCGCAUGAUCCUACAUGCCCGCUAUGCCUCGGAGCACCGGAGACGACAACUCACCUUUGCAAGGACUGUCCAUUUGCGAUUGCGGUUUGGUCGCAUGUCCAUGCAUGGACCGGCGAGGCGCCGAUGAACACGAUGACACUUCCGCCUCCCAUGGGAGUCUCCGACUGGUGGGAUCUGCUCAUCUCUCCCCUAUCCAGGUAUGAAAGACGCCGACGUAGCGGUCACUUCCUCUAG